UGCAUCGGCCGGGAAUCGAACCCAGGCCGCCCGCGUGGCAGACGAGCAUUCUACCACUAAGCCACCGAUGC
RNAcentral lists this transfer RNA (71 nucleotides) under Cordylochernes scorpioides. RNAcentral describes it as "tRNA-Gly". The record is from RNAcentral. Lineage: Eukaryota; Metazoa; Arthropoda; Arachnida; Pseudoscorpiones; Chernetidae.